UAGUCUGCAAGAUUCGGUGUUUCAUCCCUCCAAACCUAUCUAUAAUUUGUUGUUAGAAGAUGCGUUGGUUCUCCAGAGACCUAGAAUGAGAGUUGCUAGAAUGUUCCCUUAACAUAGACUUAUUUCCUUUGCGCUUUACAUGAUGAAACCCCACUUGGAGAACCAAGAAUGGCACUGGAAGAGUUGAGUGCAGAAAAUUGGAUGUGGAAACGAAGAUUUA
Molecule: unclassified non-coding RNA, 220 nt
Filed under: Hevea brasiliensis (rubber tree)
Lineage: Eukaryota; Viridiplantae; Streptophyta; Magnoliopsida; Malpighiales; Euphorbiaceae
Source: RNAcentral